Molecule: unclassified non-coding RNA, 405 nt
Filed under: soil metagenome
Description: partial contains 5.8S ribosomal RNA, internal transcribed spacer 2, and large subunit ribosomal RNA
Rfam family: 5.8S ribosomal RNA (bases 1-122)
Source: RNAcentral
GAUGAAGAACGUAGCGAAAUGCGAUACUUGGUGUGAAUUGCAGAAUCCCGUGAACCAUCGAGUUUUUGAACGCAAGUUGCGCCCGAAGCCGUUAGGCCGAGGGCACGCCUGCCUGGGUGUCACACAUCGUUGCCCCAAUGCCAAUCGCCUCACUUUGUAGGUAUUUGCUUGGGGUGAAUGUUGGCCUCCCGUGAGCUUUUGUCUCACGGUUGGUUGUAAAUCGAGUGCAUGGUGUCGGGUGUACCAUGAUGGAUGGUGGUUGAGUGAUGAUGCUCGAGACCAAUCAUGGGUAACUCCACCAGAAUUGGGCUCGGUGACCCACAUGCGUCCCUUGGAUGCUCCCUAAGGAGACCUCAGGUCAGGCGGGGCUACCCGCUGAGUUUAAGCAUAUCAAUAAGCGGAGGA